UUUCAAAGUUAAAAUUUUAAAUUUAGAAAUAUAAAUUUAAAAAUUUAAAAAUUCAAAUUCAAAUAUAAUAAGUGGAUAAUAUCAUUAUUUUUUAUUUACAAAACCCAUUAUCUUUCUUAUUCCAUCUUACCUAACCAAACACUAUUUUUUUUAUUCCAGGAAUAACCCAAUUUUCAUCCAAACGCAAAAUUGAUCUAAUCCUCGCUUAUACCUUAAUUUAUAACUAUCCCUGGAAUAGCCACUUUUUUUUUAUUCCCGAACCAAACGAUACCUUAAGAAUUAGGAACUAAAAAGAGCUCUUCGUCCCACGGGGCAAGUGGGGCCCACCAAAAAAAUGGCGGGGCUCACUUGCCCAUCUUGCACACGGUCCACGAGGUGGGCUUCACCUCGUGGACCACCGGCUUAGAGGGAGAGAGAGCUCUCUCUUUGAUUUUACAAAAUAGCAACAAUAAUAAACAAUGAAAUUAUAAUAUCAUAAAAAAGCAUUAAACUAAUAAUUGAACUAAACUGAAAAUGUCAUUAUUAUUUCAUCAUCUAACAAAAAAAAUGGUAAAAACCGUAAAAUUUUAAUCAUUACCUAAGAAAAAUUUUAUCUUCCUCUAUUAUUGCCUAUAUGAAAAUAGGUUGGAAGUGACAUAAAUAAACGACGACGUGCCAGCGAGAACGACGAUGAUGAUGUGCCGAUAAAGGUGACGAAUUUUAUGUAUAUCGCAACAGAGAAAUAUGUGGAAGACAGAGAAAGAUGUGGAAGAAAUAGAGGUGUGGAAGGUAAAAGUGAAUAUGAGAUAGAGUAUUACAGUAAUGAAGAAUAGAAUUACAAUAUCAAUAAAAAAAUACA
RNAcentral lists this long non-coding RNA (838 nucleotides) under Ananas comosus (pineapple). RNAcentral's name for it is "long non-coding RNA (ACOM_LNC004805)". Lineage: Eukaryota; Viridiplantae; Streptophyta; Magnoliopsida; Poales; Bromeliaceae. The record is from RNAcentral.